Long non-coding RNA from Gadus morhua (Atlantic cod), 594 nucleotides. RefSeq lists it as uncharacterized. The record is from RefSeq and is a predicted model, not a curated record. NCBI's taxonomy places the organism in Eukaryota, Metazoa, Chordata, Actinopteri, Gadiformes, Gadidae. The transcript has 3 exons.
GCCCAGGCUGAUAAACCAACAGCCAAUGAGACCAGCUUCUUGGGAUGUUCAACCAAGAUGACACACAUUGAGGACCAUGAGCCGUUUGAACCAGCACCUGAGGUCACUGCGAGCAGUCAGCAGCAGAGCCCGCCUGAGGACAAUGGCCAGCUUGAAGAUCCUCAUGUAACACUUGGCAAUCAGAAGGUACUUAUUUUUAACAUGUUAUUCCCUGUUCCUUGUGAGUUUUCCUGCCAUUUAUUAGAUCUUGGAAAUUAGUUAAAGUAAUGUUAAUUUCAUGUACAAUUCCGUUUUCCCAUUAUACACGGCCAUGAACUACAGCUGAUUGAUUCCUAGCCUUUUUUAUGAAUUCCUUGUUAAUUUCGAUAUAAACUAUUGGUUACACUCCUUUUUGAUUGAACUACUGUUGUGUUUUUAGGCACCCUGUGAAUUUGCACCUGCCAGAGCUGCUACAUCAAGUCAUGUGACUUAUGACAACCCUGGGUGUCUUCAAGGAUCGUUUGACCAGAGCAGCCACAUAUUCGGGGAAAAUGCAGGUAAGCAGUGUGCUACAAAUGGCAUAGCGGCGAUUAUGACCCACACCACCCAUAGCGU